UCUUCUGCUCCUGAUAAGCCCCACCCCCCACAGGUCCACACACACCAUAAACACAACCCUGGUCUGUGCAUACUUCCCAACACCCUGGAGUGUACCCCGAUACCCCACUGCAGAGACCCCCACCUCUCCACCAAUGCCACACCUGGUCCUCACACAGGUGGUGCCCCAAAGAGGUGAACACACCCUCCUGCCUGUAGAGGAUCAAGGCACCCAAUCAAUGCAGGCCGACAAGUAGCCUGAGGGUUUGCUGUUGGGUAGGGCUGGUCCCUAGGGUGUGCUGCCUACCCUGGCUGAACUAGAUUAAAUCUGCACUUCAGUGGGUGUGGCAGACCCUUGGGCUAACAGGCCAGGGGAAGAACUUCAAUGGUGUCUGCCAGGGUCUGUGUCAGCAUGCCUGGACUAAGUGACAACAAUGGCCACCACCAAUGUCUCAGUCUCCAGAGAGGUCUCACAUCACAAUGAGAUGCACUCAGAGCCCACCAGUUAACUAUCUGAUCAAGAUUUCAUGGCCAUAAUGCAAGAUUCCUGUUGCAUCAAAAGUUAGAAAACUGCAGCUCAAGACACUCCUCAUCAUGAUGGAGCUAUUAACUUUGAGUCAGGAGGACUGCAUGAUUCUGAGAAGAUCGUUAUUACAGCUUCAUUAACAAACGGAGUAUUUCAAGCAUGUUGUAGUAUGAAGUUCUUUCUGGCCAAGAGAUAUAUAAAUUCUGAGCCAAGGACCUGGAGAAGCAGGAAAUCUGAGCUAUCCAUCCUUGGAGUGUGAAAAAGGACAGCAGAGAUGGUCUUAGAGCAAACAGACCACCCAGAAUAUGUCUGUGGUUUCUCAGUGAGUCUGAACCGUGACGCUACUGUCGCUGUCUUCAUAUUGGCAAGGAGAGGACGUAGGGAUUAUGCAAACAGCCUUUUCUACCUGUGUUUUUUGGUUUCCCUGAAGGUCUCCCUCAGGAAACUUGGGGAUAAAAAGGCAGCCCAUUUUCAAAUGAAGGAUGCAAAAUUUUGGUGUGGAUCAUUGGCCACCAGCGUGAGCAAUGGAUAAUUUAUUUAUUCUGCUUUGCAUUGUGUCUUGUGAGAUGAUUCAAAUUCAGUAUGUGAAUCCAUAAUUGCCUGGGUGUUAAUGAUGUUGCACAGGAAGGGUUAUGCUGCUACCCAAGCUAAAGAGCUAUUUUAAGUUUGGGCCCCAAUUAAGAAGAGGCUUUUCCUGUUAAUGUGGCUGAUAACCUCCCUCACAUUGUCAAAGCGCGUUAAUAUUCACUAAAUACAUUUUGUAUGUGUUCAUACAGUAAAUGUAUACGUAUACAGAGAGAGAGAGAAAGAGAGAAUAUAAGAAUAGUAUAUUACAGUUCAUUCUCAUUGCAGAAAGGAUUCAUUUAUUCUUAAAUCAUUUUGUCCUCAUGAGGUUUAAGUAAAAAUAAACUCUUCAAAUACAUUAAGUAUGCCUGCCUAGACUUAGUGAGUCACUAAACUUUUUAAGUUGUCUUCUCUUCUCAAAUCUUCUACGCCAUCUCUCCUGUCAAAGCAUAUGUCUCAUAUGCUUGAGAAAAUAGAAGCAGUGGAAGAUGAACUUGCUCACUUUCCUAC
Long non-coding RNA from Equus caballus (horse), 1578 nucleotides. The record is from Ensembl. Lineage: Eukaryota; Metazoa; Chordata; Mammalia; Perissodactyla; Equidae.